Molecule: long non-coding RNA, 608 nt
Organism: Helianthus annuus (common sunflower)
Lineage: Eukaryota; Viridiplantae; Streptophyta; Magnoliopsida; Asterales; Asteraceae
Exons: 4
Source: RefSeq, a predicted model, not a curated record
AUAACAAAAACCUUCUCCACACUCCAUCCAUUUUCAUAAUUCCCAAAACCAUAAACAAUUACCAUAUUCUUACAUCUCUCUCUCUCUCUAAAAUCGUUUGAACCAAACACCCCUCACUCCACUUUCAUUUCAAUCUUCAAACUCAAGAAUUCUUGCUCUUAUGGAGAUCCAUGGAUGAAACAAACUAUUAGGGUGUUAAGUAAAGCUAUUGGAGCAUUUUUGGUGGAACUUAAAGCCUAAAAUCAUCAAGAUUUCUUAUCAUCAUCUUUGUUUUCUUGCAAAAAUUGUCGAGAAACGAACCGCGAACAAGGAAUCGAAUAGAGAUUUGCACGGAACGCAAAUCUGUCGAGAAACGAACCGCGAACAAGGAAUCGAAUAGAGAUUUGCACGGAACGCAAAUCUGAGAUUAGUGGACGGCUAUGGAAAAAUAUGUUCAAGUGGUUAUCAAGAACGCAAGCUUUUGUGAUGUCAUCCGUUUUUAGUGUUAUGUUUUGAACUUUGAAUAAUGUAGUUAAAGUUGUUGUUGUUUCAAGUUUCAAACAAGACGUAUGUAAUGUAAAUUAUGGUUUUGAAUCAAAUGUAUGGAUGAACAUCUUUUAUGUUUCAAA